Molecule: ribosomal RNA, 180 nt
Filed under: Niallia nealsonii
Lineage: Bacteria; Bacillati; Bacillota; Bacilli; Caryophanales; Bacillaceae
Description: Bacillus nealsonii partial 16S ribosomal RNA
Rfam family: Bacterial small subunit ribosomal RNA
Source: RNAcentral
AGACGGUUACGCUGCACUUACAGAGGGCCCGCGGCGCUUAGCUAGUGGGAGUAACGGCUCACCAAGGCGACGUGCGAGCCGACCUGAGAGGGGUCGGCCACACUGGGACUGAGACACGGCCCAGACUCUACGGGAGGCAGAGAAGGAAUCUUCCGCAUGGACGAAAGUUGACGGAGCAAC